RNAcentral lists this ribosomal RNA (676 nucleotides) under uncultured Glomeromycotina. RNAcentral describes it as "SSU rRNA". It matches the Rfam family "Eukaryotic small subunit ribosomal RNA", at positions 427 to 1104 of the family's 1831-position model. Lineage: Eukaryota; Fungi; Glomeromycota. The record is from RNAcentral.
AGCAGGCGCGCAAAUUACCCAAUCCCGACACGGGGAGGUAGUGACAAUAAAUAACAAUACGGGGUUCUUUAGGAUCUCGUAAUUGGAAUGAGUACAAUUUAAAUCUCUUAACGAGGAACAAUUGGAGGGCAAGUCUGGUGCCAGCAGCCGCGGUAAUUCCAGCUCCAAUAGCGUAUAUUAAAGUUGUUGCAGUUAAAAAGCUCGUAGUUGAAUUUCGGGGUUAGUAGGUUGGUCAUGCCUCUGGUAUGUACUGGUCUCACUGAUUCCUCCUUCCUUAUGAACCGUAAUGCCAUUAAUUUGGUGUUGCGGGAAAUUUGGACUGUUACUUUGAAAAAAUUAGAGUGUCUAAAGCAAGCUAACGCUUGAAUACAUUAGCAUGGAAUAAUGAAAUAGGACGUUCGAUCUUAUUUUGUUGGUUUCUAGGAUUGACGUAAUGAUUAAUAGGGAUAGUUGGGGGCAUUAGUAUUCAAUUGUCAGAGGUGAAAUUCUUGGAUUUAUUGAAGACUAACUACUGCGAAAGCAUUUGCCAAGGAUGUUUUCAUUAAUCAAGAACGAAAGUUAGGGGAUCGAAGACGAUCAGAUACCGUCGUAGUCUUAACCAUAAACUAUGCCGACUAGGGAUCGGAUGAUGUUAAUUUUUUAAUGACUCAUUCGGCGCCUUACGGGAAACCAAAGU